Molecule: long non-coding RNA, 266 nt
Filed under: Lathyrus oleraceus (garden pea)
Lineage: Eukaryota; Viridiplantae; Streptophyta; Magnoliopsida; Fabales; Fabaceae
Description: Pisum sativum (pea) long non-coding RNA (PSAT_LNC040414)
Source: RNAcentral
UUCCCACAAUUCAAUCAAUUUUCACGGGUUUAACAGUAACAUUUUCAUCAUUCCCACAAUUCAAUCAAAUUUCAUUGGUUUAACAACAACGUUUUCAUCAUUCCCACAAUUCAAUCAAAUUCCAUGGGUUUAAUAGCAGCGUUUUCAUCAUUCCCACAAUUCAAACAAAUUGCAUGGGUUUAACAGCAACAUUUUCUUCCUUUACACAAUUAAAUAAAUUUUAUGGGUUUAACAACUAGAUUUUCAUCAUUCCCACAAUUCAAUCA